Molecule: unclassified non-coding RNA, 339 nt
Filed under: soil metagenome
Description: partial contains 5.8S ribosomal RNA, internal transcribed spacer 2, and large subunit ribosomal RNA
Rfam family: 5.8S ribosomal RNA (bases 1-120)
Source: RNAcentral
GAUGAAGAACGUAGCGAAAUGCGAUACGUAGUGUGAAUUGCAGAAUUCAGUGAAUCAUCGAAUCUUUGAACGCACAUUGCACCUCUCGUUAUUCCGGGAGGUAUGCCUGUUCGAGCGUCAUUUGUACCCUCAAGCUCUGCUUGGUGUUGGGUGUUUGUUCCGCCUCUGUGUGUGAACUCGCCUCAAAACAAUUGGCAGCCGGCGUACUUGUUUCGGAGCGCAGCACAUUUUGCGAUCCAGAUCAACGUACAGCGGCAUCCAAGAAGCCUCAUUUAACGCUCUUGACCUCGGAUCAGGUAGGGAUACCCGCUGAACUUAAACAUAUCAAUAAGCGGAGGA